AGUCGAACGCACCUUUCGGGGUGAGUGGCGGACGGGUGAGUAACGCGUGAGAAUCUACCAAAAGGACCGGGACAACCACUGGAAACGGUGGCUAAUACCGGAUGAGCCGCAACGUAAAAAGGGAAACCUGCCUUUUGAAGAGCUCGCGUCUGAUUAGCUAGUUGGUGAGGUAAGAGCUCACCAAGGCAGCGAUCAGUAGCUGGUCUGAGAGGAUGACCAGCCACACUGGGACUGAGACACGGCCCAGACUCCUACGGGAGGCAGCAGUGGGGAAUUUUCCGCAAUGGGCGAAAGCCUGACGGAGCAAGACCGCGUGAGGGAAGAAGGCUCUUGGGUCGUAAACCUCUUUUAUCAGGGAAGAAAAAAAUGACGGUACCUGAAGAAUCAGCCUCGGCUAACUCCGUGCCAGCAGCCGCGGUAAUACGGAGGAGGCAAGCGUUAUCCGGAAUUAUUGGGCGUAAAGCGUCCGCAGGUGGCUUAUCAAGUCUGCUGUCAAAGAGUGGGGCUUAACCCCAUAAAGGCAGUGGAAACUGAGAAGCUAGAGUGCCGUAGGGGUAGAGGGAAUUCCCGGUGUAGCGGUGAAAUGCGUAGAGAUCGGGAAGAACAUCGGUGGCGAAAGCGCUCUACUGGACGGCAACUGACACUCAGGGACGAAAGCUAGGGGAGCGAAUGGGAUUAGAUACCCCAGUAGUCCUA
RNAcentral lists this ribosomal RNA (696 nucleotides) under uncultured cyanobacterium. Its description in RNAcentral is "bacterial SSU rRNA". It matches the Rfam family "Bacterial small subunit ribosomal RNA", at positions 60 to 798 of the family's 1533-position model. The record is from RNAcentral. Lineage: Bacteria; Bacillati; Cyanobacteriota.